This 462-nucleotide ribosomal RNA is filed under the name uncultured bacterium. RNAcentral describes it as "partial 16S ribosomal RNA". It matches the Rfam family "Bacterial small subunit ribosomal RNA", at positions 338 to 795 of the family's 1533-position model. The record is from RNAcentral.
CCUACGGGUGGCUCAGCAGUGAGGAAUAUUUGUCAAUGGGCGGGAGCCUGAACCAGCCAAGUCGCGUGAGGGAAGACUGUCGUAUGUAUUGUAAACCUCUUUAGACGGGACGCAAUGCCGGGCACGUGUGCCCGUAAGGGUACUUGCCGCAGAAUAAUCAUCGGCUAACUCCGUGCCAGCAGCCGCGGUAAUACGGAUGAUGCGAGCGUUAUCCGGUUUUAUUGGGUUUAAAGGGUGCGUAGGCGUAUUUUUAAGUCAGCGGUAAAAUGUCCGGGCUCAACCCGGGCCGGCCGUUGAAACUGGGGAUCUCGAGUGGGCGAGAAGUAUGCGGAAUGCGUGGUGUAGCGGUGAAAUGCAUAGAUAUCACGCAGAACUCCGAUUGCGAAGGCAGCAUACCGGCGCCCGACUGACGCUGAGGCACGAAAGCGUGGGGAUCGAACAGGAUUAGAUACCCGAGUAGUC